RNAcentral lists this ribosomal RNA (253 nucleotides) under uncultured bacterium. Its description in RNAcentral is "partial 16S ribosomal RNA". It matches the Rfam family "Bacterial small subunit ribosomal RNA", at positions 524 to 776 of the family's 1533-position model. The record is from RNAcentral.
UACGUAGGGUGCAAGCGUUAAUCGGAAUUACUGGGCGUAAAGCGUGCGCAGGCGGUUGUGUAAGACAGAUGUGAAAUCCCCGGGCUUAACCUGGGAACUGCAUUUGUGACUGCACAGCUGGAGUGCGGCAGAGGGGGAUGGAAUUCCGCGUGUAGCAGUGAAAUGCGUAGAUAUGCGGAGGAACACCGAUGGCGAAGGCGAUCCCCUGGGCCUGCACUGACGCUCAUGCACGAAAGCGUGGGGAGCAAACAGG